This 390-nucleotide ribosomal RNA is filed under the name Bacillus sp. B2(2010c). RNAcentral describes it as "bacterial SSU rRNA". It matches the Rfam family "Bacterial small subunit ribosomal RNA", at positions 972 to 1362 of the family's 1533-position model. The record is from RNAcentral. Lineage: Bacteria; Bacillati; Bacillota; Bacilli; Caryophanales; Bacillaceae.
UACCAGGUCUUGACAUCCUCUGAAAACUCUAGAGAUAGAGCUUCUCCUUCGGGAGCAGAGUGACAGGUGGUGCAUGGUUGUCGUCAGCUCGUGUCGUGAGAUGUUGGGUUAAGUCCCGCAACGAGCGCAACCCUUGAUCUUAGUUGCCAUCAYUAAGUUGGGCACUCUAAGGUGACYGCCGGUGACAAACCGGAGGAAGGUGGGGAWGACGUCAAAUCAUCAUGCCCCUUAUGACCUGGGCUACACACGUGCUACAAUGGACGGUACAAAGAGCUGCAAGACCGCGAGGUGGAGCUAAUCUCAUAAAACCGUUCUCAGUUCGGAYYSUAGGCUGCAACUCGCCUACAUGAAGCUGGAAUCGCUAGUAAUCGCGGAUCACGCAUGCCGCGG